Molecule: long non-coding RNA, 1198 nt
Filed under: Anser brachyrhynchus (Pink-footed goose)
Lineage: Eukaryota; Metazoa; Chordata; Aves; Anseriformes; Anatidae
Description: lncRNA (ENSABRG00000010512.1)
Source: RNAcentral
CUCUGUGCUGUCGUAGCCCCCAUGUCGGUCUUCCUCUUCUUCCUCUUCUUCCUCUUCCUCCUCCUCCUCCUGUGCCUGCCCCUGCUGAAAGCAGCAACUCCCUGAAGGCAGAGGGGAGGGGAAGGGGUAGGAUGGAAGGGGAGGGGAGGAAUCAGCCGUCAGGAGAAGCAGCUUGGAGAUCUCCGGAGCCCCCCUGUGCCCGAGCCCCCCCAGUCCCCAGCUGUCAGUGGUGCUGCUUCGCUGCUUGCAUUUUGGGGCCAGUUUGGCACAAAGGGUGACUUCUGCCUGGGGUCUCUCUGCAGGCGUUCGCAGGGAGCAGCGCGGCUGCAGGCAGCUGUCCUGUCCCUCGGGCAGGAUUUCCUGGCGGGACCCCGAGACCCCCGGCGAUGGAGCCGGAGGAGAAGCCGUUCGUGGGGGACCCCCGGGGCGGGGGGCGCAGGGGAGUCCCUGGCCCCCGCGGUGCAGGAAAGGGCUGGGCUGGUGUGAAGCACGAGAUUGUGGUGAAAACGGAGCCGGAGGACGAGUCGGACAUCGGGUACCCCCAGGGCCCAGGGGCGGGGGCUGCUGCCCCCGGCAUCCCCAGUGUCCCCAGCAUCCCCGGUGUCCCCAGCACCAGUAAGUGACGUGGAGCAGGGCGCUGCACAGAGGGGUUGUGCUGGGACGGGGCAUGCCCCGCGCCCUUUGGGAACCGGGAACUCCCUCCUGCAGGAAAAGCAGCAGUUCCCUUCCCUGCGUAACGAGUAUUUAAUAGUAUUUAACUUAGUAAGAUAACGAUAGUUUAAUAUUGAUGGGUGCAUUGGAGCCUCAGUGACCUGCAUCUGGUGCAGCCCCGUGGUUCCCCGGGGUCCUGGCUGCAGGAGGCACCGAGCUCGCUGCACCCAGUGCCUGCGGAGCGGGGACCCGGCGGCAGCGGGCGGCAGCGGCACGGCCCUGUCCGUCCCCAGAGCAGGACGUGUGGGCCGGGUGCUUCCUUCCACAGGCAUCAAAACAGAGGUCGUCAUCAAAACCGAGCCUGAGGACGACUCCUACGGUGACUGCUGCCCACGGGAGAAGGAGGAGCCCCCCGACCCCACUGCCUGUGAGUGGGGCUGGGCACAUGGGGGUGCCCGGGGCUGUGCCAUGGGGUCACGCUCCCUGCUCUGCCCCUCGGUGCCUUUGUAGGCAGCUGCCCCGUGCAGUCCUGGGGAUGGUGACACUC